CCUACGGGUGGCAGCAGUGAGGAAUAUUGGUCAAUGGGCGCGAGCCUGAACCAGCCAAGUAGCGUGAGGGAUGACUGCCCUACGGGUUGUAAGCUUCUUUUGUAAGGGAGUAGAGUGAGGCACGUGUGCCUGUUUGUGUGUACUUUAUGAAUAAGCAUCGGCUAACUCCGUGCCAGCAGCCGCGGUAAUACGGAGGAUCCGAGCGUUAUCCGGAUUUAUUGGGGUUAAAGGGAGCGUAGAUGGGUUGUUAAGUCAGUUGUGAAAGUUUGCGGCUCAAACGCAAAAUAGCAAUUGAAACUGGCAGUCUUGAGUACAGGUGAGGUAGGCGGAAUUCGUGGUGUAGCGGUGAAAUGCUUAGAUAUCACGAAGAACUCCGAUUGCGAAGGCAGCCUACUA
RNAcentral lists this ribosomal RNA (396 nucleotides) under uncultured bacterium. RNAcentral describes it as "partial 16S ribosomal RNA". It matches the Rfam family "Bacterial small subunit ribosomal RNA", at positions 338 to 731 of the family's 1533-position model. The record is from RNAcentral.